CCUCCCCACUGAGAGCUGGUGUGUGUGAGAGGACUGGAGCAUCAUCCAGGUGGGGCUGCACACUGGUGGGGGGAGUGGGAUUCCCCCUGACCUGGGAAGAGCUCCGAGUGGAGGGUCCAGA
Non-coding RNA from Lepisosteus oculatus (spotted gar), 121 nucleotides. The record is from RefSeq and is a predicted model, not a curated record. NCBI's taxonomy places the organism in Eukaryota, Metazoa, Chordata, Actinopteri, Semionotiformes, Lepisosteidae.